RNAcentral lists this non-coding RNA (183 nucleotides) under Paracoccus aminophilus. RNAcentral also lists the same sequence under 1 other name. Lineage: Bacteria; Pseudomonadati; Pseudomonadota; Alphaproteobacteria; Rhodobacterales; Paracoccaceae. The record is from RNAcentral.
AUUAGCUGCCGCGCGUCUGGUGCCCGUUGCAAACCAACGUGGAUAAUCGGGAACACGGUUGAAAUCCGUGACGUGCCCAACGCUGUGAGGUGGACUGGGCGGCAAGGCCACUGGUGCAAACCGGGAAGGCGCCGCUGCGGAGCGAAGCCAAGUCAGAAGACCGGCCAGACGAAACGGGCGUCU